Molecule: RNA transcript, 1250 nt
Organism: Cloeon dipterum
Lineage: Eukaryota; Metazoa; Arthropoda; Insecta; Ephemeroptera; Baetidae
Exons: 6
Source: RefSeq, a predicted model, not a curated record
GGGAAAAUUGUGGAUAUGUUAUAUUCAACUUAUAUUCCGAUUUUAAUAAAUCAAACAUUUUUUGAAUCCGCAUUAAUUUACUUCUUUCGCAGCUCUUCACAAAGUUUACGGGACUACCAUCUCUCAUUCAGGACGUACAGGGAAGGUCAAUUCAAAAUUCACAAAUAUGGAGUGCUACGUUCUUUGCAUGCCAAGAGCUACUUGGAAUUGCAAAUUUGGAAUGAUUUUCCAAAUGCGUUUUGUGUCGACAUCGUGUACCUUACAAAAGAAAGCUUGGGAAGCAAUACAAAAGCACUAACCUUAGAAGUGUGGGAUGGACGUUACAAUCAAGAAUUCCCAAUAAAAACAAGUGGAAAAAUGGAGUGGAUUGAGCAGAGAAUUACUUCAACAUCACUCACACUGAAAAAGGGUAUGAUAGUCUGGCUGGUGGCUCACUUUGCAGAUCUCGUCAUUGGAGGGAUUAAAUUCUGCAAAGAAGAACCUACGGCGCCAAUCGUGUCGAACUGCUAUGCUUUUGGUGAAGAAAAAACAACGCUAGGCACCAACAAGAAUCACUUCACAAACCUUUUGAAUACUCUCAGCGAUUGCAGAAAAUUUGGAGGAGAUUGUGCUGGAUACCAACUGUGUAGCAAUCAUGAGAAUGGUCUAAACUGUUCCUGCUUUGCUGGGUUUUCCGGAAAAAAUUGCAACACUACUUGUCAAGGCAAAAACUUUGGCUUGAACUGCGCUAGCACAUCCAAUAAACAUUGUUUAAAUGACGAAAUCGACCGUGCUUACGGAGACUGCAUCCGUGGGUGUGCACUUGGCUACGAACCCCCAAAUUGUGAAAGUGAUCCAGUUUGGAUUUCUGUAUGAAGCUGCCAAACACUACUUGUCCUCCUUCGCCACCUAUGGAAACUUCAAAUGAGUGAAUUAAUCUAUAAACACAACAUUUUACUACACUUAACCAUCAAGUAAAACCUUAGUUUUUUAAGUUUAAUUAAAUAAUGAAAUGCGCAUUUAAAAAUUAAAAUUACAAAUGUAAAGCUGACUCCGAAAAUUUAGACAGUAAAAUUCAGCACUUAUAAAAAAACAAGUUAAAUUCAAGGAUUCGUUAAGGAUAGAAAAAAUAAUUACGGAUGAAAAGUUUUAGUACUACGAAUAAUGGAAGAUCUUAGAAAAUACAAUUUUAAUUAUAGACACAACAAAACUACGCGUGAGGGAGAGAAAAUUCUCCCUCAAAAUUACAAUGUUAUUUGUUUGUUCAUUAA